GGCUGCCUGCUCCGGGGGAAGCGCGCUGCUCUGCUAAAGGGGGAGGCAGAGCGCCCAGCGCCCAGUCCCCUACCCUUUCCCCUACCCCUGCUCCUGCUCGAGCUCCUACUCCUGCUCCUGCUCCCGCUCUCGUUCAGUGUUGCGCUCCCGAUCGCGCUCGGGUUCCGGCUCCAGCUCCCACUAGUGCUUGGUCUGGAGCUCCCAAUCGCUCUCCAGCUUCGGUUCCAGCUCCAGCUCCGGCUCCCGGCUCCAGCGCCGCUCCGCGCAGGGUUCCUGGUAGCUGCCCAAGCUUGCCCAGACCUUAUGAGAAAGGGGACAGACCAAGCUGGGCAUCUAAGUGUCUGCUUCCUAGACCCAAGGUAGAGGGGCGGAUCCCCUGAAGUCCUCCACACUGCAUACAGCAUCACAGAAGGCCCAAGCAGGGGGGAUCCUGUGAACAUAGAAUGUUGGAGAUGGAAAAAGACCCUUGAGAUGAUUUCUCCCAAGUCUUUCUUGUUUAAAAACGAAAUAACAAUAACUGAUACUUCUAUAUCAAUUUUACAUUUAGAAAGGUCUUGAUAUUAUCUCAUUUGAUCCUCUCAGUCAUCCUGUAAUGGAGGUACUGAAGGCAUUAUUAUGCCUAUUUUACAGAUAAAGAAUAUGGUCACAUAACUAGUGUCAAAAGUGGGAUUUGAAUUCAGGCCUUCUUGUCUCUGAGACCUUUAUCUAUUCAGCCAUACUACCUAGUGGAAAGACGGUCAGAGAAGCUAAAUGAUCUGUCUAAUUUCCUUAGGCUAGUAAGUUGUUGAUCUGGGAAUAGGACCCCGUCCUCUGGUCCUUUUAAUAUCCUUUCUUGCUUCUUAGCAAUAACCAAUUUAAAACUUGUUAUGUAUUGGUGACUGGAUGGAUGGAGUCUAGGUUAGGUACUAUCAUUGUUCUGCUGAUCUUGGAAAAGUCCUUCUCUGACCCUCAGUUUUUCUGCUCUGUGAAAUGGGGACAAGUACUCAGGUUUGCUUGAAGGUCAGAGUUUUGGCAGAGACUAUUGUUAGGGUACUAGGUGGCUGAGAGGAAUGGGAUCAUCUAAGUCCCAGCCAAGCUGCUGGUUAUCACUUUUUAGCUGCUUGAAGUUGUUUUGUGUAGGUAAGAGAGAUCUUGAGCAAUUUACUUUUCUCUAGAACUCUAGUUUCUUCAUCAAUAAACAAGGGGAUGAGACUAGGCA
Molecule: long non-coding RNA, 1198 nt
Filed under: Monodelphis domestica (gray short-tailed opossum)
Lineage: Eukaryota; Metazoa; Chordata; Mammalia; Didelphimorphia; Didelphidae
Description: lncRNA (ENSMODG00000037535.1)
Source: RNAcentral